Long non-coding RNA from Pleuronectes platessa (European plaice), 367 nucleotides. RefSeq lists it as uncharacterized. NCBI's taxonomy places the organism in Eukaryota, Metazoa, Chordata, Actinopteri, Pleuronectiformes, Pleuronectidae. The record is from RefSeq and is a predicted model, not a curated record. The transcript is spliced from 2 exons.
CAUGCAGCUGAGCGCCAAACGGCUGCAGCCACUUCUUCUCUGACCCGCAGCAUCAGACAAACAGAAAAUUUGCAGCAUAAUGCCAAGAAAAGAGAGACGCCAAAGGCAGAAGGACAGGGAACUGCAGCAAGCAGCUCGGGGUAGCAGCUCUCUUUUAUCUUGGAUCAGGCCAUCAACUUCUAAAAAAGAUGAGUGAGAAUCAACAACCCUACCUAGUCCAGAGGAGUCCAUCACAUCACUAACCCUAACAUAUUUGGUUAUUCAAUAUGGCCUUGUUUUGUCUGUUUUUGCCUGUUAUUCAUUUAUUUAUUCAAAUUGAUAAUUUGAGUUAGUUUGUUAACAAAAAUAAAUAUAGAAGUUGAAACUA